GGUAGGCAGCCAUACAUAGAAGGUCUCACCCAUCCAUGAUGGCAGCUCCUGAAAACCUAACAAAAGUGCUCUAUGGCAGAGGUAUCCUUGGGCAUGCAUGCCACAGGGCAUUGGUGCCAGGCUAUCACCAGAGCAAUUCCAAAAGACUUUCUCUGCCCCCUCUUUUCCUCCCUCUCCCAAUGCAGCUCUGGAGGAUGGAGAGGCAGCAGAGAGGGUGGGGAGGAGAAGCAGGAGGAAGACAAGUUCUCCCCUCCCCCUCUCAGCACAGCUCUCUCAGCCCAAGCAAGGCCCAGGCUGGAGGAGGGGCCAUGCUGAGUGGGCGAAGGUCAACACUGUGCUGCUCUUUACUUAUGAAGAUAAACAUGGUUGAAGAGUUAAUGCCUGCAUGGCCAAAGGAUGAAAUCAAUCUAAUUCUCUCCAGAUGUGGUUGAAAACGCCCAGGAAGUGCCAUCCUAUCUGCAGCUGUUAUCUUACACUAGUGCUUGAGAUGGCCACUAACCGAAGUGCCCUCCUGCCCUCACUGCCAUCCAGGGGCAGACAGUGCUGCACCAGACUUGGGGACAGCCCCUACUGAAUGGAUUGUGGUUGCUCUGAGCUGUCUGUGCAGAAGGAGGGGAGGCAGGGUGUGUGCAAGUAUGUGUGUAGGAGACAUCUAUACAGCUGUAAUGGAAAUUCUGCAUGACUACAUCAGCUGGAGUGCCCCUGGCACCAAUGGAGCCUUCCUCUCUGAGUCUCACAGCUGGAAAAUAGUUUCUUUAUUUGAUGCAAGGCAAUGCCAGCAAUGCUUUGAGACCACUCUGUGAAGUUCUCAAGUGCUUUUUGUAUCCAUUUCCUAGGGCUGCAGUGACAAGUCUAUCAUCAACUGGAAGCCAAAGUCCAAAAUCAGGAUGCUGAGAGAGCCAAGGCAAUCAUAUCAGAUUAAAGGCCCACCCUCCUCAAGUAUUCAUCUUAACUACUAACAUCCACAAUGGUCCUAUAUCUAAAUAAGGUCAUGUUUGAGGAAGAACAUGAAUUUGCGGGGGUUGGGGGGAUAUGAUCUAAUCCAGUACACUUUUCUUACUUAUAAAGAUUCCUAAGGGCAUCUGAGGUACAUAUUAGAAAUACUUUGCCCAAAUGCCUUCCAAAAUGACCCAUAAAUAGGAGUCCUCUAACACUUGAGCCCAGCCCGUUCCCUUUCCAGCAACUUCGCAAGCUGCUGAAUGCAUUGGAAAGAAUGCAGAACGUGGAGCCUGGUGGACCUGAGGUUGAAUCUCCACUUAGCUGUGUGACUUUCCUUAAGUCGCUUCUACUCUCAUGAUCUAUAAAAUGGGUCAAUAGAGGGGAUAACCAAACAUCUCUUGGACACUUUCUUUUGUGUGAUACACCAUCAAAGAACCUUCAGAGUCAUUAUUUGAUUAGUAAAAUAUCAUUCUCAUGUGAGGAUAAGUUAGUUAACUUAUAGCCUAAUACCAUGUUGGUGAGGAAUAAAUAUUAGUUCUUUAUACUUCA
RNAcentral lists this long non-coding RNA (1488 nucleotides) under Vulpes vulpes (red fox). Its description in RNAcentral is "lncRNA (ENSVVUG00000005776.1)". The record is from RNAcentral. Lineage: Eukaryota; Metazoa; Chordata; Mammalia; Carnivora; Canidae.